GCUCAGCAUCUGCCCUCCAGCUCCUUACGAGCCACCUUGUGCGGAAAGGAGGAGGGAGGAGGGCGCCUUGGCAUCCUACAGACAGCCUUGGGAUGGGCUCCGAGCGGGGACAGACUUCCCCGAAGCCUCCCUCGACUCAGUGCUUCUUCACCCUGCAUCCACGGCGUGCACCAACACCCCAGGAGGUACUCUGAGACACGACAGAAGCAGCAGGAGGUAUAAUUGGCACUAAUUGCGGAGAAUAUUUAAGCCUGUUCUCAGUGUCACCAACUCCUUGCAGGCACAGGGUGCGUCCCCAGUGCCACCGUCCGUCCUGCAGGGACCCCAUGGGUUCAGGGUCCCUGUCCCACUGCCCAGCUCUCCCCAUCCCCAACGGGGCAGCCCCCAGGAGCAGCACCCCGAGCACAAGGCACAGAACAGAGAUCCUGGACCUGUCAUGCACUGGGGACAGAUGUGUGCACACGCAGGGCUGCUGAAUCUGCAGGGACAGGGAAACACGACGGGGAAAACAGGGGAAGGGGGAGCGGGCAGGCUGUGUAAGGCCGGUUAUUUGCCCAUACAAGGAGGGAACGAGGGAGCUCUGCCGUUCACGGGAGACCAGCGAGACUCCUUGAGCACAGUGAGCCGUCCACAGAGGGUCAAAAAAGGAUGAAAAGUUGCUCUUGGAGAACCUAAAAUAGUUCGAAAAACAGGAGAUCCGACAGAGAAAGACAUGAUUCAGCAGGGGAUGAAGGGACUCUCAGCCAGAAGGUAAAUGUUUUCUUUAUUCUCUUCAACUCGUGGAAGAUAAAUGGGCACAACUUCGGUCUCGCUCCUACCCCAGGGAGUACGUGACCUGAACGAGCGCGUAAAUAACCAGCCGGUGAGACACCUCGCUCAGGGAAACGCUCACCGCCGUGCUCGGAGCAGAUGCUCAGUCUCAUUAACAAGACUGCCCAGGGUUAGGGUAACAAAGGAGUCCAGCAGCAAAGCCUGGAGCUGCAGGAAGCCUAAAGCAAUCUCAGAGUCGGGGCUCUGUGAGUUCCCCAUCCCAAGGGCAAGGGCUGCGAGGCAAACCUUGGCCAGUGACCGUGGUGGGGACACAGCUGGGAGAAGCCCACCCGCAGGAAACCCCACUUACUGCUCACUGCAGGACAGCAAGGAGAAGCCUUUCUGCCCCCCGAGGACUCCAAAUACUUCACCAAGUGCGCCCCAUGUGGGGCACAGAUUCACACUGAAGGCUGAUGCCAGUAUUUGGCAGGAUGGCACAGGGUCCUGCACACCGGCACACCCCUCCAAACCACCAAAUUAGAGCACCUCUUAAUGGGGCAGCAGAUGCUGCAGCUCCACCAACCAUGUUCCAGCACCGAGGAAAACAGCAGGAGCACGAGAAAAGCGAGGUUAAAAAAAUACAAAGCACCAGAGAGAACAAGAGCUGCUGGGCUGGAGGUGAGCAACGGCGACUGGAAGAGCUCGCAGCAAGACCAACGUCGCUGUUAUCUCUGCUCAGACUCAGAAGUCGGAGGGUUGGGGACUACCUCGAAAUGAUGCGCACUUGUCAGAGCCACUUGGAGCUACCCGGACACCAGGGCCAUGCUGCAGGCACACGGCCUGGCUGCCCACCGCCACUGGUGAGGAGCAGCCGGGAGAAGCAAAGCUCCUGUGCUGCUUCCUAACGUGAGGCUGAUCUUCAGAGGGAUGGCAACAGCCCCUUUCAAACCCCGGGCCAAGGCAAGGACUCGAGCAGUCUGGCUACCAGCCUCAGUCAGGGGGUUUACCAGCACUCAGUAUUGCAUUAGACAAUUAACAUUCCCUCAAUUUGUUACGUUUGGCUGGGGAAGGAAGAUACAGGGAAUUAAUUCUUGAACAGAUCAUGCCAUUAGCUGGUGGGACUGCCAGUUACGUUGCACAGAGGCUGGGCUUUUGCAGCCCUGCUUUAAUAGGCAUCAGAAACACCAGCUCUGCAUCAGGCUGCUGGGCUCUUAGUGAUUCUUGGACAUCUCUUCGGGUAUGGCCAAUAAACCUGGAAUGGAAACAAUUUCUGUCUGGAAAAAUCAUAAGCCAUCUCCAAGAAAGCUCUUGCUUCUCCCUGGAGAGGAGAGGGGGGAGAGGAAAACACAACUGCAGACAUUUAGCAUGCAUGGGAAGAGAAAACAGCAGGAACCACUGAGCUGCACCGGCUAAAUUUAGGGUGCUCAAACCCCGCUCGCUGAGCUCCGUGCACCAAGUGCUCAGCGAGGAGCUGGAGUGAGCAAGUGAGGGGGGCUGAGGACGGUGUGGGCUGGAGUCUGUGGGACAGACCCUCCCCAUACAUUCAGCUGCUGUUUCUACAGCUGAAGCAGGGGGGAAGAGAGCUCCUCCAGCGCGGCCCUGGAUAGCGCUUGGGCACCCACCCAGUCUGUCCCAGCCCCGACCGCUUCCCCUGCUCGCUGCUGGGGUGGACACGGUGCCCCCUCAGCAUCCCCGGGACACGACCAUCACCCACCUUGCACGAGGAGCUUCUGGCCCCAACAGGCCUUUCACAUUUCUGUUCCACCACCCAGAAGAGAGAGCACAGGACUCUUUUGGUCCCAUCACUUAAAGCACGCCCCGGCACACCGCACCCUUCCUUCUCCCGAAACGCUCCACCUUACGGGCAGAAAAUGCUACUGUAACCUGGUUAUCACCGAUAAAGGAUGUCUUUUCUAUUUCAGUGUAAAGAGAAGUGCUAAAAAUAGCUUGCAGGAAUAAAGAGGGAGCAUUUUGCAGCUGACUUGCAAAUAGCAACUGUCAUAGCACGGCCCUGGGGAGUGGGGCUGCUGCUACAGGAGCCGAACAGCAGCGCACCAAGAAGGAUGAACAGGUGACACGUGUCAGCCUGCUGGGGAAGGGCACAAAUCCUCCACCCAGAGAGCACAGCCCAGCCUUUUGGGCAGGAAAGAAACUAAUUGUCUCUUCUUUGGCCCCCUGCUUUCGCUAGCCAUGAUUCAUGGGCUCUGCUCUGCCCCAGCUGAAUGAGGAUGGUUUUAAUGAAGUUAAAGAUUAGCGGGUUUGCGGUGGGAUUGCUUUUAAGUAAAUGCGAUUCUGUUACUGACCUGAAGGCACAGGGAGGAAAAGGACACCUCCAGGCUGUCAAGGACAAGCACAGGACCAGGUGCUCGAGCACCUGCAGGAGGUAUCAGCUGCGCCCCCAAGGCUCAGAACCAGCUGCAAAACCCAAUUCAGAUGGAUGGAUAAGAGCCAUUUGCAAAGACCAAGCCAGGAACAUGAGCCAGCUACUGUGGGUGCCUCCACGCCACGCUGACGGCGUCACAGCACCUGCAGCACGGACACACCUCGGGACCGCAGGGGACAAUCGCUGUCCUUGCAGUCGCUGGGACACCCACGAGAGGGAGACAAGAUCCCACAGCACCGCCUGCAAGGCUCCAGCUGGAAGGCAGAGCUGGGAGCCCAGCCCUGCCCGCUCCAGGCAGCCGCAAGCAGAGCCCACCUGCAGCCCCUGCCAAACGCACGCCCAGCUCUCAUUCCCGACCUCAUGAAAAAGGUGACUGCAUGAAGAGUUUGUCUCUUUUGCGACACGUGUAUGUGUAAAACAAAAUUGUGUGUUCACAGAAUAUUAAGAAUUGUGUAUUCAGGCUGGAGCUGAAAUUGCCUAGCUGUUUUUUUUUCUGCGCAUUUUUACCAGCAGUGAGAAUUCCCAUUAUUCAGGAAAUCUGCACAGCAGCCUCUGAAGACUGCACUCCUGUGAUGCACGCUGCAGGUCGGGGCACAUGAAAUCUGUCCUCUUCAGUGUAAUUGAGGAGUGGCUGAAGGGCUCUUUGCCAGCUGCUUGCUCCUCUGCUCCUCGGAGGUGGCAGCAUUGCCCGGGCUGCACUCACAACUCACGUGGAGAUCACCCCGCAGUCGGUUCCCUCACAGCACGGCUGCUCUCCUUCACGUCCAUUCCGACGGAGAACUAGCUGUAAGUUUGCUUGUAAACCAAUCAGGAUUUGACUGACUAGAAGGACAGUGCUCGUUUCAAUAGAAAGCAGUACAAGGAGGGCUCGGAGCACCCGUGCCGAUUCCUCUCCUCCCGCACCCGUGGCUGUGCUCAGCCUCCGGCUCCCCAACACCCCUUGUUCGCUGCACAUCAGCAUGCACGGCGUGCAUCUGCACGGACAUGUGCAGGGAAAACGUAUCAUUAAUUUCUACCCUUGUCCAUGUGGAGUUUGUCUGACCUCUUUUCUAAAUCUAUUUUUAAAUCGCUUCUGGGAUGCUGCAUGCCAGGUACCACCGUUAUUCUGCUGCACCGUCAGCUUGCCAGGACGUCGCAGCACUCGUAUGAAAUAGGAUAGGAAACACCUGCACAGGUCACCCCGUCCACAGCCAGGCCUCGAGACAGAGCAGCUUCAUGCACAUCAUUCAUGAACCUCUUCCAUAAAUCACCCCCAGACAAUCUUUUUCCUUCCCCAUCUCUUCCCAGGCAGCCCUCAACACCAUUUUUUGAGCUGUCAGUUGGAAGCACAAGCCAGCCUAUUUCCUUUCCUUUGCCCUCGAUACAACACUUUGCGAUUCUCUCCUCCAAGACCUUGGGACUGCCCUCAGUUGCCCCAGCCUGUGACGGCCACGUACCGGCUGCUGUGUGCACACCACAGGAAGGCAGAGCGAGGCGUUGAGCCCACACAACCGCCUGUUUGCCAUCAGCUCGAGCCUUUAGAAGUGAUCCGCUCCUAAAAGGGGAGCUCCUUCCACUGCCUCUAGUACAUACGUGGAAUUUUUUGGGGCAUUUCUGGGGUUCAGAGAGCACUGAUCUUUUCCUGUAAAUAUUUUCUAAAAGACUUGUUCUCAUCCUCUCAGUGCACAAAGGGGUAAUUAAUAGGCAGGUUACCUGAACACAGCCAUGCAACCAAACGUGCAGCAGUGGCUUGAGCUGCGUGGCCAAAUUAAGCCGUUUGCUAUAUAUCCAGCAGGUGGAAGUUGUUCUGCCUUUAAAAACUGGGCCAGCAAGACGCACUUCAUCCAGAAGAACAGGGAAAAAAGUCUCCUCUGAGAAUGAUAAUGUAUUCAAUAGUUAUUUUAUCUGAGCAGAAAGAAGAAGACAUCAGAAGUCCAAUUUCAGAGAGCAGGAGCGCGCUGCCUCACAAUCGCUCUCAUCCAUAUUGGAUGUUCAGCUCUUUUAAAUUGCAUCUAACACACACAAAAGCGAAGUCACUAUCUAUCAGCUGUGGAGGAAGGCACAACUGGUUAGUUUAACAUUCAUUGCCCCUACCUUUAAAAUAUUUACAGCGCGUAUCAGGCAUUAUUAAUGCACGGUACAUCUGAGUGUAGCGUCCUGGGACUGGGCACACAGCCCCGUGCCUUGUCCAAGUGGAUGUGAGUGCUGCAGGAGCCUCCACGUUGGCAGUGAGAGGCUUUUGUGAACACCUGUCCCCGCAGCACCUAAAAUGAAGCGAACAGCACCAACUGCACAUCUCCUCCCAGGCAGGCAGCGUUCCUGUCUCUGCCUCCCAACAAGCUCCGCUCCCUCUUGGCCACUCCGCUUUCUGCAGCAUUUUUAGCACCGUGACGUGCUGUCUUAU
This is a non-coding RNA of Anas platyrhynchos (mallard), 5516 nucleotides long. NCBI's taxonomy places the organism in Eukaryota, Metazoa, Chordata, Aves, Anseriformes, Anatidae. The record is from RefSeq and is a predicted model, not a curated record.